UAGGAACUUUAAUUUCUUUGAAAAAUUUGUUUUUUUUAACUUCCAAGGCAUGUAUCUUUAUUUAAAAAAAUGUUUGGAAAAAAUGCUGAAAUAGGUGUUCAAUGAUUUUAUUAGAGGAAGCCCUGUCUAAAUUUUCAACUCUCUAACUUCAUUAUUUUCAGAGUUAUGAGCAUUUUGUGUUUAGGAACUUUAAUUUCUUUGAAAAAUUUGUUUUUUUUAACUUCCAAGGCAUGUAUCUUUAUUUAAAAAAAUGUUUGGAAAAAAUGCUGAAAUAGGUGUUCAAUGAUUUUAUUAGAGGAAGCCCUGUCUAAAUUUUCAACUCUCUAACUUCAUUAUUUUCAGAGUUAUGAGCAUUUUGUGUUUAGGAACUUUAAUUUCUUUGAAAAAUUUGUUUUUUUUAACUUCCAAGGCAUGUA
This is a long non-coding RNA of Anthonomus grandis grandis, 416 nucleotides long. RefSeq lists it as uncharacterized. The record is from RefSeq and is a predicted model, not a curated record. Lineage: Eukaryota; Metazoa; Arthropoda; Insecta; Coleoptera; Curculionidae. The transcript has 3 exons.